This 69-nucleotide transfer RNA is filed under the name Ovis aries (sheep). It matches the Rfam family "tRNA". From Rfam's summary of the family: Transfer RNA (tRNA) molecules are approximately 80 nucleotides in length. Lineage: Eukaryota; Metazoa; Chordata; Mammalia; Artiodactyla; Bovidae. The record is from Rfam by way of RNAcentral.
CCUUGCUUCUCACAUGGUAGUGAAUCUGCCUGCGAUGCAGGAGACCUGGGUUCAACCCCUGAGUUGGGA